Molecule: long non-coding RNA, 732 nt
Filed under: Ananas comosus (pineapple)
Lineage: Eukaryota; Viridiplantae; Streptophyta; Magnoliopsida; Poales; Bromeliaceae
Description: long non-coding RNA (ACOM_LNC013449)
Source: RNAcentral
AAAAGAAAUAUUGGGCUUUGAGUUGGGCAUAUAUUGUUUCGUCGUUUGGUUCGGAUAUAAGCAAAACUAGCUAUUACAGGGAUAGGUACAAGUAUGGGGAUAAGAAAAAUAGCGUUUGGAUGAAAAUUGAAUUGUUUCCGGAGAUAAGAAAAAUAACAUUUGGAUAGAUAAUAUGGAAUCAGAAAAAUAGUGGGUAGUUAUAUAUAGAAAAUGGAGGUGUUGGUGAGGAUAGUUAUACUAGCUUAUUUUAGGUAGCCGAGAACUACUAUUCUCGAAUAAAAAUUUAUGUUUGGGUAUAAAGCGGGGAUAAGGGGUUAUCCCUCCCUUUUUCCCCGAUCCAAACGCUAGGUAUGUUUAGUUCAAAGGAUAAAGGAGGAAUAAGGGAUUUAUUCCUCUUAUUCUUCCAAAUGGUGUCAAAAGUUGUCAAGAAAUACUAUUCUCCUCUUAACGAGUUAUUCUGGAAUAAUCCGUUAAGAGAGAGAAUAAUAGUUCCACCUAUUGGGUGAAACAAGCUAUUCUCUACCUUAUUCUUCUACUAAUUAAGUUAUAAAUAAUUAUAAAUUAUAAUUAAUUAAUGCAAUUAAUUUUUUUAAUAAUUGGCUAAUUAAUUAUUUAAUUUAUUAAAUUAAUAAAUAUUUAAAUAAUAAUCUAUUUAUAAUUUUUUAUUAUUUAUCUAAUUAAAUAGUUAGCCAUAUAUUCAAUUGUUAACUAAUAUUUAUAUUAUUUAAAUAA